AGUGAACGCUGGCGGUAGGCCUAACACAUGCAAGUCGAACGGCAGCACAGUAAGAGCUUGCUCUUACGGGUGGCGAGUGGCGGACGGGUGAGGAAUACAUCGGAAUCUACUUUUUCGUGGGGGAUAACGUAGGGAAACUUACGCUAAUACCGCAUACGACCUACGGGUGAAAGCAGGGGAUCUUCGGACCUUGCGCGAUUGAAUGAGCCGAUGUCGGAUUAGCUAGUUGGCGGGGGAAAGGCCCACCAAGGCGACGAUCCGUAGCUGGUCUGAGAGGAUGAUCGGCCACACUGGAACUGAGACACGGUCCAGACUCCUACGGGAGGCAGCAGUGGGGAAUAUUGGUCAAUGGGCGCAAGCCUGAUCCAGCCAUACCGCGUGGGUGAAGAAGGCCUUCGGGUUGUAAAGCCCUUUUGUUGGGAAAGAAAAGCAGCAGGUUAAUACCCCGCUGUUCUGACGGUACCCAAAGAAUAAGCACCGGCUAACUUCGUG
This 492-nucleotide ribosomal RNA is filed under the name uncultured bacterium. Its description in RNAcentral is "partial 16S ribosomal RNA". It matches the Rfam family "Bacterial small subunit ribosomal RNA", at positions 29 to 507 of the family's 1533-position model. The record is from RNAcentral.